Candida albicans SC5314 is the source of this 71-nucleotide non-coding RNA. The record is from Rfam. Lineage: Eukaryota; Fungi; Ascomycota; Pichiomycetes; Serinales; Debaryomycetaceae.
UAUCUUAUAGUUCAAUGGUAGAACAACAUACUUCUAAUAUGUAUAUAUAGGUUCGAUUCCUAUUAAGGUAU